AACGAACGCUGACGGUAUGCCUAAUACAUGCAAGUCGUACGAGAAAGCUCUUCGGAGUGAGUACAGUGGCGCACGGGUGAGUAACACGUAGGUUACCUGCCCAUCAGUGGGGGACAACAUCGGGAAACUGAUGCUAAUACCGCAUAAGCACGCAAGUGGAAAGGUGGCUUCGGCUACCGCUGAUGGAGGGGCCUGCGGAACAUUAGCUUGUUGGUGGGGUAAUGGCCUACCAAGGCGAUGAUGUUUAGCUGGUCUGAGAGGAUGAUCAGCCACACUGGAACUGAGACACGGUCCAG
RNAcentral lists this ribosomal RNA (296 nucleotides) under uncultured bacterium. RNAcentral describes it as "partial 16S ribosomal RNA". It matches the Rfam family "Bacterial small subunit ribosomal RNA", at positions 29 to 334 of the family's 1533-position model. The record is from RNAcentral.